RNAcentral lists this non-coding RNA (159 nucleotides) under Euryhalocaulis sp. RNAcentral's name for it is "6S RNA". It matches the Rfam family "6S / SsrS RNA". From Rfam's summary of the family: E. coli 6S RNA was the first non coding RNA to be sequenced, but its function was unknown until recently. It consists of 184 nucleotides that fold into an extended hairpin structure with a large single-stranded internal bulge. The 6S RNA specifically associates with RNA polymerase holoenzyme containing the sigma70 specificity factor. The record is from RNAcentral. Lineage: Bacteria; Pseudomonadati; Pseudomonadota; Alphaproteobacteria; Maricaulales; Maricaulaceae.
CGGCGUCUGCGGUUCGCGUGAUAGGCCACCAUCUCAGCGACCGUACCUAUCUCUAUAGGGAGCUGUCACUGCCCGGGGCCGUGGCCCCUUGCAAACGGCGCCCACCUGGUUAGCCAGGUCCUAGAGAAGGUUAGGCCGAAACGGUCCUCGCGGAGCCGC